GGAAGUAUAGUUUAUCUAAGAACUCUGUUUUUGUAAUGCAGCGGUGUAGUUGGUCUGCUUCUU
This 63-nucleotide transfer RNA is filed under the name Brachycladium goliath. RNAcentral's name for it is "tRNA-Thr". Lineage: Eukaryota; Metazoa; Platyhelminthes; Trematoda; Plagiorchiida; Brachycladiidae. The record is from RNAcentral.